GUAGAGAAGAAGGUGUAAGAGUCCAUUAGAACAUCCGAAGAACAUCUCAUGGUGAAUUGGUAUUAUUGAGUUCAGUUAAAUCUAACCUGGCUGGUUUGAAGAGUUCCUGUCUCCUCGGGCGCUGAGGUUGCUCUAUGUGGUCAUCUCUCGGAUGGAUCAUUUUGACCUUGGGUAGAUCAGCCAGGGUGGCAUAUUCCUCCUUGUUUCUUCCAGCAGAUGCCACAGACUCAGAGGAAUCUAUGGAGCUCUGCGAUAAGCCUGAGAAGAGAUUGGCGUUAAGAGCAUUCCAUUGCCCCGUCUCGUCAGAAGUUUGGCUCCGGUGACGGCGUCGAGAGUGGACGGAGCCGCUUCGGUGAUGUCCCCAGCGUCGUGAUGAAGGCGCCUUUGACGCAGGCAGUCGUGGCAGCGGGAGGGGUCGAAGAUGUUGGGUUGAAACUUGGGGCAUACGGGCUCGUCAUCGGAGAGAGGCAUGAUUUUGGAAUGUGAAAUAUCAUCGCAUCCUGUGUUGAGAACUGAGGCAUAAAAGCAGAGAGGGAAUUCGCAAAAAUGUGAUAUUACAAACAAUAUUUCUGUUGAUUGAUUUGUCCAGGUUACGAUUAAAUGAUUCAUCUUGG
Long non-coding RNA from Syngnathus acus (greater pipefish), 614 nucleotides. RefSeq lists it as uncharacterized. The transcript has 2 exons. The record is from RefSeq and is a predicted model, not a curated record. NCBI's taxonomy places the organism in Eukaryota, Metazoa, Chordata, Actinopteri, Syngnathiformes, Syngnathidae.